Vespa crabro (European hornet) is the source of this 2473-nucleotide long non-coding RNA. RefSeq lists it as uncharacterized. The transcript is spliced from 2 exons. The record is from RefSeq and is a predicted model, not a curated record. Lineage: Eukaryota; Metazoa; Arthropoda; Insecta; Hymenoptera; Vespidae.
GAGCCGCCGUUCGAUGAACCGUCCGUCAACCGUCUUCCCAGUCUACUCUUUCCUUUUCACACGCGAGGGAUGACUUAGGGUGCCAGUUUUGGCGGGAAUUUUUAACCGACCGGUUUCUCUCCUUCGAAAGAUACGAUCCUGUUCUGCCAGCGGGGAUUUAUUAAUGCAUUCGGAAGAGAGUAAAAAAAAAAAAAAAAGAAAAAAUAAAGAAAAGGGAAGAUAUUCCAUACACGUUUGUUUCACUCGCGAAGCACGUUCUACGGAAUAGUAAAAAAGAAAAAAAAAAAAAGUACAAAUGGAAUAUGUAUGGAUGUUCCCCUAAAAAAAAUGAUUGACGAAUCCUCUUAUAAUUUUUGUAAGUUUCUUUAACGAUUGGGAUUCCGACCACGUGAAUCAAUCAAAUUGUUAGGAAAAAAAAAAAGAAUAAUGUUAUUUUUUUUGUUUUGUUUAAAUGAAGUAUCCCUCUAUAAGAGAAAUAUUUAUAAAAACAUUUACAUUUUAUUUUAAAUUUCUUUACCGACAGGGUUCUACUACGUAAAUCAAUCUAAUCGCUAAAAAAAAAAAAAAGAAAAAAAAAAAAAUUAUUACGAUUUAAUUUAUAUGUACAUAUAAAAUGAUAGAUACGUACGUACAAUGAUUCAUUCGAAAUUUUAAUAAAUCUACGUGUUAGAAAAAUAUUCCUUUUUCUUUUCUUUUUUCUUUUUUCUUUUUUCUUUCCCCCAAAGAAAAUCAUCGUCUCAAACUUAUUACGUUUAGAUAUUAAUAAGUAGAACAAAAAAUUGUGUUAUUAAAUUUCCGAUAGAAAGAAAAAUUAUAUGAGAGAAAUAACGCUUCAUAAAGAAGGGAAAAAAAAAUAAAAAAAGACAGAUACACAGAGAGAGAAAGAGAGAGAGAAAGAGAUAAAAAAGAGACUUAUGCGAAAAUACGUAAUCCUCUUCUUGGAACAGCAUAUGCACACAAUUGUAUGAAUAUAUGUGAGUACUGCAUCAUCGGUCUCUAUAUCAGACGUCUUAUAUAUAUACAGGACCUGUACUCACAUAUGCGUACGUACAUACAUAUAUAUAUACAUACAACAGAACAUACAUUUCAAUUUAUAUAUAUAUAUAUAUAUAUAUAAAUAAUCAAAUACAUGUACUGACCAAAUAUGCCUGUGUAUCUCGAGUUAAAAGCGGUCGUCUUACAAGUGUAAAGGCUAUCUACGUGAUCCUUUACAAUGAAAGAAGUUACAUUCCUUGACGCUUCGUGGAAUGUAGCCGAACAUCUAUUUCUCUUAAUCUUAUUCUUACGAGAGAUCAACACACAAUUUCUUUCGUAAUAAUACUAAUAGUUAAUAUCUAACUUGUCUUACAAUGAUUCACGAAAAUAUCCAAAAUUCUUUGUCAUAUGAUUUUUAAUUGUAAUUUAAUCAUUCAACGAUUUCUAUGAUAAUUUUAAUUACUGUAUUUUUCUGUUUUUUUUUUUUCACAAAUCUUUAGUUUUAUAUAUAUAUAUAUAUAUAUGUAUAUAAUGAAUAUAGAAAAGAUUAGAAAAGAUAUAGAAUGUGUGACUAAAGUCAAGUAUGUAGGGUACGUAACAAAUUUUAAAUCAUAAAUCAUAGAAAAAAUUGCAUGACAAAUUAAAAAAUCGACAAAUGGUUAUGAAUACGUUGUCGACGUUUUCGUUUAUUCGCUUUUUUUUUUUUAUUAUUCCUAUUAUUUUAACGAUCUCCUUUACAUAAUAAUUAAGAAAGUUUUUCUUAAUUGGCAAACGAUUAGAAAUAAUUGUAUCGAUUGUGAUAUUAUUAGCAAAAGAAAAAACAAAACAAAACAAAACAAAAAUUAAAUAUAAAUGAAAACUCCGAAGUCGAUUUUAUAGUUAUCAAGAAGUAGCUAAUUAAUUAAAUUCUCUCUUACAUUAUCGUAUCUAAUUAUUAAUUUUCGUUAGAAAAUCCUAUCUCAUUUAAUUAUUCAAUGUUUCUUUGUCGUUUGAUAACUCGUUCCUCUAACAUCACUCCAUAUAUUAUGAAUUCAAAAUAAACAGCAAUGUUGUUGUUCACUUGCGAAAGUAUAACUCUGUAACAACCUUCUUGUUGUGCUAAUAAUAAAUUUUCCUUGGAGGGCCUUACACAAAGUAGGUCGAGCAAUAAGAAGAUUUUAAUCGAGAGUAAGAUUAUUAAUUGCCUCCUGGAUAUAUUUUUUGUAUCACAUCGAGAUACACAUGACGAUAUAUAUAUAUAUACAUACAUAUAUAUAUAUAUAUAUAUAUAUAUAUAUGUAUAUAUAUAUUUAUAUAUAUUAAUGUUGUCGAAAAAAAAUGCAUGUCGGAAAAUUUAUUGCAAUGUUUAUACAGAACAUGCAUUCACAUACAUUUUUUUUUUUUUAAGCAUGAAUUCUUAUUACAUUAGAGCAUGAAAUCACAUACAUUGUAUUUUUUUUAUCUUUUUCCUUUUUUUUUUCUUUUUUUUUCUUUUUUUUUUUUUUUUUUUUUUUUUUUA